Molecule: transfer RNA, 85 nt
Filed under: Acidobacteriota bacterium
Lineage: Bacteria; Pseudomonadati; Acidobacteriota
Description: tRNA-Leu
Rfam family: tRNA
About the family: Transfer RNA (tRNA) molecules are approximately 80 nucleotides in length. Their secondary structure includes four short double-helical elements and three loops (D, anti-codon, and T loops).
Source: RNAcentral
GCUGGGGUGGCGGAACGGCAGACGCGCGGCGCUGAGGUCGCCGUGGGCGCAAGGCUCUCUGAGGGUUCGACUCCCUCCCCCAGCA